RNAcentral lists this ribosomal RNA (619 nucleotides) under Enterobacter sp. R4. Its description in RNAcentral is "bacterial SSU rRNA". It matches the Rfam family "Bacterial small subunit ribosomal RNA", at positions 64 to 674 of the family's 1533-position model. RNAcentral also lists the same sequence under 1 other name. Lineage: Bacteria; Pseudomonadati; Pseudomonadota; Gammaproteobacteria; Enterobacterales; Enterobacteriaceae. The record is from RNAcentral.
GAGCGGUAGCACAGAGAGCUUGCUCUCGGGUGACGAGCGGCGGACGGGUGAGUAAUGUCUGGGAAACUGCCUGAUGGAGGGGGAUAACUACUGGAAACGGUAGCUAAUACCGCAUAACGUCUUCGGACCAAAGUGGGGGACCUUCGGGCCUCAUGCCAUCAGAUGUGCCCAGAUGGGAUUAGCUAGUAGGUGGGGUAAUGGCUCACCUAGGCGACGAUCCCUAGCUGGUCUGAGAGGAUGACCAGCCACACUGGAACUGAGACACGGUCCAGACUCCUACGGGAGGCAGCAGUGGGGAAUAUUGCACAAUGGGCGCAAGCCUGAUGCAGCCAUGCCGCGUGUAUGAAGAAGGCCUUCGGGUUGUAAAGUACUUUCAGCGAGGAGGAAGGCAUUAAGGUUAAUAACCUUAGUGAUUGACGUUACUCGCAGAAGAAGCACCGGCUAACUCCGUGCCAGCAGCCGCGGUAAUACGGAGGGUGCAAGCGUUAAUCGGAAUUACUGGGCGUAAAGCGCACGCAGGCGGUCUGUCAAGUCGGAUGUGAAAUCCCCGGGCUCAACCUGGGAACUGCAUUCGAAACUGGCAGGCUAGAGUCUUGUAGAGGGGGGUAGAAUUCCAGGU